This 89-nucleotide non-coding RNA is filed under the name bovine gut metagenome. The record is from RNAcentral.
AUUCGGGGUGCUGGGUCGCACGGUGCGGCUUGGCUGAGAUGAAACCCGUCAACCUGAUCAGGGUAAUGCCUGCGGAGGGAAAAUGAAAA